UAUCCCCCAAACCAAGGGGGGAUGAGAACUACCGACCGGGGUUCGACAACUGGCGCAGCCAGUUGGACAGACGACGAGCUUGCGAGGAGACUGCCCGAAGGGCGAGCGCAGCGAGUCAAUCCCCCCCUCACCGCCA
This 136-nucleotide small RNA is filed under the name Salmonella enterica subsp. enterica serovar Infantis. RNAcentral's name for it is "RtT sRNA". It matches the Rfam family "RtT RNA". From Rfam's summary of the family: This family represents a bacterial cis-regulatory element known as RtT RNA. The exact function of RtT is unknown although it is thought that it may be involved in changing the cellular response in relation to amino acid starvation. RNAcentral also lists the same sequence under 3 other names. Lineage: Bacteria; Pseudomonadati; Pseudomonadota; Gammaproteobacteria; Enterobacterales; Enterobacteriaceae. The record is from RNAcentral.